This 497-nucleotide ribosomal RNA is filed under the name uncultured bacterium. RNAcentral describes it as "partial 16S ribosomal RNA". It matches the Rfam family "Bacterial small subunit ribosomal RNA", at positions 28 to 507 of the family's 1533-position model. The record is from RNAcentral.
GACGAACGCUGGCGGCGUGCCUAAUACAUGCAAGUUGAGCGAUGAAGCUUGGUGCUUGCACCAAUUUGAAGAGCAGCGAACGGGUGAGUAACGCGUGGGGAAUCUGCCUUUGAGCGGGGGACAACAUUUGGAAACGAAUGCUAAUACCGCAUAACAACUUUAAACAUAAGUUUUAAGUUUGAAAGAUGCAAUUGCAUCACUCAAAGAUGAUCCCGCGUUGUAUUAGCUAGUUGGUGAGGUAAAGGCUCACCAAGGCGAUGAUACAUAGCCGACCUGAGAGGGUGAUCGGCCACAUUGGGACUGAGACACGGCCCAAACUCCUACGGGAGGCAGCAGUAGGGAAUCUUCGGCAAUGGACGAAAGUCUGACCGAGCAACGCCGCGUGAGUGAAGAAGGUUUUCGGAUCGUAAAACUCUGUUGGUAGAGAAGAACGUUGGUGAGAGUGGAAAGCUCAUCAAGUGACGGUAACUACCCAGAAAGGGACGGCUAACUACGCG